UUAAAUGCACUGCCAUGCAUUUAAGGAUUUGAUUUUUUUUUUUUCUUUUUCUUUGAAACGGAGUUUCGCUCUUGCUGCCCAGGCUGGAGUGCAAUGGUGCAAUCUCAGCUCACCACAACCUUCACCUCCGGAGUUCAAGUGAUUCUCCUGCCUUAGCCUCCCGAGUACAGGUCACAAUAAUUAUCCCAAAAUUAACUGAAGAUGCCCACUGUUACUUCUGUUUAACCAUGUGUUAACCAUGUAGUUAUGGGAACUACAAUGACGUUCACUACCUUAGAGAAACUUACAAUCUUGGGCCAGGUGCCGCACUUCACAACUAUAAUCCUAGCACUUUGGGAGGCCGAGGAGGCUGAAUCACCUGAGGUCAGGAGCUCGAGACCAGCCUGGCUAACAUGGUGAAACCCCAUCUCUACUAAAACUACAAAAAAUUAGCUGC
RNAcentral lists this long non-coding RNA (436 nucleotides) under Homo sapiens (human). RNAcentral describes it as "non-protein coding lnc-FAM19A3-6:2". The record is from RNAcentral. Lineage: Eukaryota; Metazoa; Chordata; Mammalia; Primates; Hominidae.